This is a long non-coding RNA of Ipomoea nil (Japanese morning glory), 1864 nucleotides long. RefSeq lists it as uncharacterized. The transcript is spliced from 4 exons. Lineage: Eukaryota; Viridiplantae; Streptophyta; Magnoliopsida; Solanales; Convolvulaceae. The record is from RefSeq and is a predicted model, not a curated record.
UCCUCCUUUGUCUCUCGUCUCUCGGUGUCUAUCUCUCCUCCACGUCAAGCAGCACAUCGGCGGUGACAUGGUGGAGUUUCGUGAGAUGUGGCGACGGCGGCGAGAGGUCGGAAUAGCAGCUCCUCCGGCGAGCUGUGGCUACGGCAGUGAGCAGACGAGGCAACUCUCCUUCCGGCAUGAACGAGUAGUAGCUCCGGCGACUCCUCUCCCCUUCUUCCUUUUUCUGGCGCGACGGGCAGAGGCUGAUCUCCGGCGAGGCAGCAGCAGAUCUGGCGGUCAUGGAGGUCGGUGGCGCACAGCAAUGGUGUGAAUCGCGGCGAACCCUCAGUAAGAUUUUACAGUAUUGAGGGUGAAAUGGAGGAAUCUCUUUGGAUGGGUAAAUGGUGCGUCGUUAUGUGAUCAAUCAAAUUCAUUCAGGUCUAAUUAUCUUAGUAAAAAUUAAUUUGGUUGACUUUUCUCUUUUAAUCAAUUUUCUUCAACUUCUUUCCAAGUUCUUGAUUUUUCUGGGUUUCUCCAUCCUUCACUUUUCCGCCGUAUUCUCCUUUGGGUGUUCGUGUUUAUCCAUCUGGGUUUCUUGAGUGGUCAACGGAGGUCUUCACCGGAGAAUAGCAUCUUGCUUAGAAUUUUCCCGGUGAUCAACAGUACACCGUCUUCCUAUUUCUUCUUUUUUUUUUUUUUUUUUUCUGGCCGGUAACAGUUCUAUUAAAGGAACUUUGGUGGUCAAUAGUCCACCGUCUUCUUCCUCCUAAUUUUUCCGGCUGGUCAAUUGAAUUUUUGUGGUGGUCAAAGCUCCGUGCCAGUUCUCCUCUGUAUUUUCCGGUGGUCAAUUGGGUCUAUCGGUGGUCAAACUUCUGCGAAUGAUUGAAUGGAAGUCGGAUAUACUACCUUACUCUGGCGAGUUACGUACCAUUGAGCGAUUCAUUGAGGUUACUAGCAUUGACGAGUCAACCAAACUCUUCGCGAAGAUGGAGAAUUUUGGAGGCUUUCUUCGCAAUCGAUGUUAGUGCUAUGGAUAUAUGCAAUUUGCAUCAUUAAGAAGAACGGACGUACGACGAGCUGACGGACGGACAGCCUGCGCGGCGGACGGACGACGAUCGAAGGAGAAGGCCGGGACGCGAACGACAAUCGGAGGAGAAGGCCGGGACGACGACUGGCUCAUCAGCUCUCAGCGCGGCUGUUGCGAUCGGCGAUUAUUUUUUUUUUUUUUACUUGGGUUAAAAUUCAAUUCGCCCAAUCUGAUAGCUAGGGUAAAUGUUGAAUGGGAAUCCGAGGCUCCGGUCUAAGAGGGUGCCUCGGAUUUCAAUACGAGUAUAAUAAUAAUAUUAUAGCCCGGCUCCGGUCCAUCUGGGAGACGCGGAUUCUAAUAUUAUUAUUAUAAUAAUAUUAUAGCCGCGACUCCGGUCCAUCUGGGAGAUGCGGAUUCUAAUAUUAUUAUUAUAAUAAUAAUAUUAUAGCCGCGGCUCCGGUCCUUUUGGGAGACGCGGAUUCUAAUAUUAUUAUUAUAAUAAUAUUAUAGCGGCGGCUCCGGUCCAUCUGAGAGACGCGGAUUAGCAUAUUAUAAUAAUAAUAAUAAUAAUAUUUCCAAGGCACCUCCUUGUAAUUGGUGCCUUGGAAAGUUCUCUCUUUUUCUAUAUAAGACACCUUCAUUUUGAAGGUGUAGUGAAAAAUAUUACUUAUAUUUUCAAAUACUACUUAUAUUUUCAAUUCUGUACUAGUGAAUACACUAAGAAUAUAUGUACCAUUGAAACUAGCUCGAAAAAAGACAAGUUUCAAGCAUUAUAUUUAUAUUACUCGUACGUGUAAUUGAAAGUAUCAUAACUAUAUGUUGGAUUAGUUACGUUUUUAAUUCGUUCACGUGCAAUAA